GGCCUCCCAAUUCUUACCACAGGCUGUGUUCUUUACACUGACAUACAGUCAGAAAGAGGAGGUACAGUAAAUGCACCCCAUAUACAUCUCAACCCAGGCCCUUUGCCUGGUCUGUAUUGUGAAUUGGGGGACAAAA
Molecule: small nucleolar RNA, 136 nt
Organism: Suncus etruscus (white-toothed pygmy shrew)
Lineage: Eukaryota; Metazoa; Chordata; Mammalia; Eulipotyphla; Soricidae
Product: small nucleolar RNA SNORA51
Exons: 1
Source: RefSeq, a predicted model, not a curated record